CUCCGUAGGUGAACCUGCGGAGGGAUCAUUACCGAGUUUACAACUCCCAAACCCAAUGUGAACGUUACCAAACUGUUGCCUCGGCGGGGUCACGCCCCGGGUGCGUCGCAGCCCCGGAACCAGGCGCCCGCCGGAGGAACCAACCAAACUCUUUCUGUAGUCCCCUCGCGGACGUAUUUCUUACAGCUCUGAGCAAAAAUUCAAAAUGAAUCAAAACUUUCAACAACGGAUCUCUUGGUUCUGGCAUCGAUGAAGAACGCAGCGAAAUGCGAUAAGUAAUGUGAAUUGCAGAAUUCAGUGAAUCAUCGAAUCUUUGAACGCACAUUGCGCCCGCCAGUAUUCUGGCGGGCAUGCCUGUCCGAGCGUCAUUUCAACCCUCGAACCCCUCCGGGGGAUCGGCGUUGGGGAUCGGGACCCCUCACACGGGUGCCGGCCCCGAAAUACAGUGGCGGUCUCGCCGCAGCCUCUCCUGCGCAGUAGUUUGCACAACUCGCACCGGGAGCGCGGCGCGUCCACGUCCGUAAAACACCCAACUUUCUGAAAUGUUGACCUCGGAUCAGGUAGGAAUACCCGCUGAACUUAAGCAUAUCAAUAAGCGGAGGAA
RNAcentral lists this ribosomal RNA (604 nucleotides) under Trichoderma asperellum. RNAcentral describes it as "eukaryotic LSU rRNA". The stretch from base 215 to 368 matches the Rfam family "5.8S ribosomal RNA". The record is from RNAcentral. Lineage: Eukaryota; Fungi; Ascomycota; Sordariomycetes; Hypocreales; Hypocreaceae.